This 447-nucleotide ribosomal RNA is filed under the name uncultured Beijerinckiaceae bacterium. RNAcentral describes it as "bacterial SSU rRNA". It matches the Rfam family "Bacterial small subunit ribosomal RNA", at positions 157 to 638 of the family's 1533-position model. Lineage: Bacteria; Pseudomonadati; Pseudomonadota; Alphaproteobacteria; Hyphomicrobiales; Beijerinckiaceae. The record is from RNAcentral.
CUUGAGCUAAUACCGGAUACGUCCGAGAGGAGAAAGAUUUAUCGCCGAAGGAUCGGCCCGCGUCUGAUUAGCUAGUUGGUGAGGUAACGGCUCACCAAGGCGACGAUCAGUAGCUGGUCUGAGAGGAUGAUCAGCCACAUUGGGACUGAGACACGGCCCAAACUCCUACGGGAGGCAGCAGUGGGGAAUAUUGGACAAUGGGCGCAAGCCUGAUCCAGCCAUGCCGCGUGAGUGAUGAAGGCCUUAGGGUUGUAAAGCUCUUUUACCUGGGAAGAUAAUGACGGUACCAGGAGAAUAAGCCCCGGCUAACUUCGUGCCAGCAGCCGCGGUAAUACGAAGGGGGCUAGCGUUGUUCGGAUUUACUGGGCGUAAAGCGCACGUAGGCGGAUCUUUAAGUCAGGGGUGAAAUCCCAAGGCUCAACCUUGGAACUGCCUUUGAUACUGGGG